This 781-nucleotide ribosomal RNA is filed under the name uncultured Neocallimastigales. RNAcentral describes it as "partial large subunit ribosomal RNA". It matches the Rfam family "Eukaryotic large subunit ribosomal RNA", at positions 20 to 643 of the family's 3401-position model. The record is from RNAcentral. Lineage: Eukaryota; Fungi; Neocallimastigomycota; Neocallimastigomycetes; Neocallimastigales.
UACUAGAGUAGCACUCGCAUAUCAAUAAGCGGAGGAAAAGAAACUAACAAGGAUUCCCUUAGUAACGGCGAGUGAAGCGGGAAGAGCUCAAAUUUGAAAUCUUCAAGGUUCUACCUUGACGAAUUGUAGUUUAUAGAAGUGUUUUCUGUUAGUAGGAGUGGCAAAAGUUCUUUGGAAUAGGACAUCAUAGAGGGUGAGAAUCCCGUAUUUGGUCAUUCCUUCCUAGCGUUGUGAUACACUUUCAACGAGUCGGAUUGUUUGGGAAUGCAGUCCAAAAUGGGUGGUAAAUUUCAUCUAAAGCUAAAUAUUGGCGAGAGACCGAUAGCGAACAAGUACCGUGAGGGAAAGAUGAAAAGAACUUUGAAAAGAGAGUUAAACAGUACGUGAAAUUGUCAAAAGGGAAGCGUUUGACACCAGUGUUGUUUUUCCGAAAAUCAAUUACGAAUGUUUUGUUUUUAAGGAGUUAUGACUUCAUCGGCUUGCUUCUUUCUUUACGAAACUUUCUUAAUGCACUUUUCGGUUAACAAGUCAACAUCAAUUUCUUUUGUUGUAAAAGGGUAUGAGGAAGGUGGCUUUCUUUUCGGAGAAAGUGUUUAUAGCCUUGUAGCCUCUGCAAAAAUACGGAGAGAUUGAGGUCUGCAGCGUAGAUCCUUCGGGGUUAGAUACAUUUGUGCUAAGUUAUAGCUUUUCAUAGACAACUUGUUGACUAUGUUUAGUCUUGUAGCUUACUCGCUUAUGCUAUUUUACCUACGCUUAGGAUGUUGAAGAUGUAGCACAUCAU